RNAcentral lists this ribosomal RNA (253 nucleotides) under uncultured bacterium. Its description in RNAcentral is "partial 16S ribosomal RNA". It matches the Rfam family "Bacterial small subunit ribosomal RNA", at positions 524 to 776 of the family's 1533-position model. The record is from RNAcentral.
UACGUAUGGGGCAAGCGUUAUCCGGAUUUACUGGGUGUAAAGGGAGCGUAGGCGGCGGGGCAAGCCUGACGUGAAAGCCCGGGGCUCAACCCCGGGACCGCAUUGGGAACUGCCCUGCUGGAGUGCCGGAGGGGCAGGCGGAAUUCCUAGUGUAGCGGUGGAAUGCGUAGAUAUUAGGAGGAACACCAGUGGCGAAGGCGGCCUGCUGGACGGUGACUGACGCUGAGGCUCGAAAGCGUGGGGAGCAAACAGG